Molecule: ribosomal RNA, 403 nt
Filed under: Verrucomicrobiota bacterium
Lineage: Bacteria; Pseudomonadati; Verrucomicrobiota
Description: Verrucomicrobia bacterium partial 16S ribosomal RNA
Rfam family: Bacterial small subunit ribosomal RNA
Source: RNAcentral
UGGGGAAUUUUGCACAAUGGGGGAAACCCUGAUGCAGCGACGCCGCGUGAUUUAGAAGGCCUUCGGGUUGUAAAAAUCUUUUUUAUGGGAUGAAAAUGACAGUACCAUAAGAAUAAGGUCCGGCUAACUACGUGCCAGCAGCCGCGGUAAUACGUAGGGGGCUAGCGUUGUCCGGAAUCACUGGGCGUAAAGGGUUCGCAGGCGGAAUAACAAGUCAGAUGUGAAAGGCAUGGGCUCAACCCAUGUAAGCAUUUGAAACUGUAAUUCUUGAGAAGUGGAGAGGUAAGUGGAAUUCCUAGUGUAGCGGAGAAAUGCGUAGAUAUUAGGAGGAAUACCUGUGGCGAAGGCGACUUACUGGACACAAAUCUGACGCUGAGGAACGAAAGCGUGGGUAGCAAACAGG